RNAcentral lists this ribosomal RNA (484 nucleotides) under uncultured bacterium. Its description in RNAcentral is "partial 16S ribosomal RNA". It matches the Rfam family "Bacterial small subunit ribosomal RNA", at positions 30 to 507 of the family's 1533-position model. The record is from RNAcentral.
AUUGAACGCUGGCGGCAGGCCUAACACAUGCAAGUCGAGCGGAUGAAGGGAGCUUGCUCCUGGAUUCAGCGGCGGACGGGUGAGUAAUGCCUAGGAAUCUGCCUGGUAGUGGGGGAUAACGUCCGGAAACGGGCGCUAAUACCGCAUACGUCCUGAGGGAGAAAGUGGGGGAUCUUCGGACCUCACGCUAUCAGAUGAGCCUAGGUCGGAUUAGCUAGUUGGUGGGGUAAAGGCCUACCAAGGCGACGAUCCGUAACUGGUCUGAGAGGAUGAUCAGUCACACUGGAACUGAGGCACGGUCCAGACUCCUACGGGAGGCAGCAGUGGGGAAUAUUGGACAAUGGGCGAAAGACUGAUCCAGCCAUGCCGCGUGUGUGAAGAAGGUCUUCGGAUUGUAAAGCACUUUAAGUUGGGAGGAAGGGCAGUAAGUUAAUACCUUGCUGUUUUGACGUUACCAACAGAAUAAGCACCGGCUAACUUCGUG